Long non-coding RNA from Populus euphratica (Euphrates poplar), 283 nucleotides. RefSeq lists it as uncharacterized. The transcript is spliced from 2 exons. The record is from RefSeq and is a predicted model, not a curated record. Lineage: Eukaryota; Viridiplantae; Streptophyta; Magnoliopsida; Malpighiales; Salicaceae.
AACCGCUGCCUUACCACAAAGAAUGCUAUCUUGCCGGAAAAGAUGAUGAGAGCAAAUUGUCGAAGGUGAGAGGUCAACCCCAGGUCACUAAAUACGAUGUUCCCAGAGCAUGUAUAUGGAACCAAACAACCAGCCGAGACGAACUUUCUACUAGGAAUCCAUGUACAAACAAUAUCCAAAUUGUUAUGACAAAUAACGUGAAAUCAAUAAAUGACGUUCACCCUGUCAUCUUGAUCCGUUAGGUUUGCAACAAGAGGUGUUCAGAGUUGAGCAACAACGUAAA